RNAcentral lists this ribosomal RNA (216 nucleotides) under Triticum aestivum (bread wheat). RNAcentral's name for it is "partial small subunit ribosomal RNA". Lineage: Eukaryota; Viridiplantae; Streptophyta; Magnoliopsida; Poales; Poaceae. The record is from RNAcentral.
AUGAAAUUACUAUGCUGGAACUGUCGUGGGAUAGGCGAUCCCGCGAAAGUCAGAGAACUCCGCGAUCUCGUGGAGACAAGUUUGCCGACGAUUCUUUGUUUAGUUGAAACUCAGCUGCAAAGAAGUCGCAUAGAGGGUCUUCGCUUUUCUCUUGGUUUUGAUUUUAGCUUUGGAGUUGGUAGUAGUGGCCGCAGUGGUGGCAUUUGUAUCUUUUGA